GUCCAGGGUAGCCUAGUGGACAUGGCAUCUGCCCGGUAAGCGGAACACUGUGGGUUCGAUUCCCAUCCUUUGACA
Molecule: non-coding RNA, 75 nt
Organism: Cordylochernes scorpioides
Lineage: Eukaryota; Metazoa; Arthropoda; Arachnida; Pseudoscorpiones; Chernetidae
Source: the annotation of a GenBank genome assembly